Molecule: ribosomal RNA, 917 nt
Filed under: Triticum aestivum (bread wheat)
Lineage: Eukaryota; Viridiplantae; Streptophyta; Magnoliopsida; Poales; Poaceae
Description: partial small subunit ribosomal RNA
Source: RNAcentral
CCGCAGCGAACUAUGCCAUCAUCGACGCUGUGCAGACCGAGAGGAAUGCCGUGCUCCACGUCGUCGAUCUCGGCGGCGCUGACCCCAGCCAGUGGCUUCUGCUCCUCCGCUUCUUUGCCAAGCGUCCUGGGGCGAGCGCACACCACCAAAUCCUCCGUCUGACCAUUGUGAACGAGGAGGACGAGUUCCUGUCCAGCACCGCUGCGCUCCUCGCCUUGGAAGCCGAGCACCUCCACGUCGGCUUCCAGUUCCACCCGGUGAAACUCCAUAUCAAUCAGCUGAACAGCAUCGAGCCCCUCGGUGUCAGGAGCGGCGAAGCAUUGGUCAUCGUCUCCACCUUACAGCUCCACCGUCUGCUUGCCGACGAGUUUGCAGAAGGGGCUACUCGUCCUCAUGACAGGAAAGGAAAAGCGCAGGCGCAUGCUACCAUGACGAGGGCCGACGCGCUCCUCCGGGACCUAGCUGAGAUAUCGCCGAAGCUUAUGGUAGUGACGGAGCAGGAGGCCAAGCACAACGGCGUGGAGUUCAGGGACCGGUUCGGGAAUGCGCUCAAGUACUACGGGGCUCUGUUCGACGCCCUGGAGGAGAGCGUACCUACGCGCGGGUCGGCAAUGGAGCGUGAAGGAGUGGAACGGUGCCUGCUACUGGACGAGAUCAGGGAUAUCAUUGCAUAUGACGGCGCCCAGCGCCGGGAAUGCCACGACCCGAUGUCGCGGUGGGCGCCGCGGACGGAAGCUGCAGGAUUCGUGACUGUGCCGAUGAGCCCCGGCAACGUGGCGCAAACGGCGAUCCUAGGACGUAUGUUGGCCAGUGGUAGCAGGGCGUACAGGGUAUGCAGUGAGAAUGAAGACGGGUGCCUCUUCAUCUACCGGGACGACGUUCCGAUGUUCUCCGUCUCGACUUGGCGCACGGUGUGA